AGUAUGGAGAGUUUGAUUCUGGCUCAGAGCGAACGUUGGCGAUGCGUCUUAAGCAUGCAAGUCGAGCGGGCUUAUUCGGGCAACUGGAUAAGUUAGCGGCGAACUGGUGAGUAACACGUAGGUAA
Molecule: ribosomal RNA, 125 nt
Filed under: Brachyspira aalborgi
Lineage: Bacteria; Pseudomonadati; Spirochaetota; Spirochaetia; Brachyspirales; Brachyspiraceae
Description: partial 16S ribosomal RNA
Rfam family: Bacterial small subunit ribosomal RNA
Source: RNAcentral